RNA transcript from Vespula vulgaris, 3691 nucleotides. It is a transcript of the gene named 40S ribosomal protein S9, with no coding region annotated. The record is from RefSeq and is a predicted model, not a curated record. Lineage: Eukaryota; Metazoa; Arthropoda; Insecta; Hymenoptera; Vespidae. The transcript has 8 exons.
GUGUCAUCUACAGUGUAAAAGUGUUUGUAAAAUUACCGAGUCUUAUCAUCGUUCUCAGUGAUCCGUUUAUAUAUUACUACGUGGAAUUUUUCUAAACGUCGUUAACAUUCAAUUAUUUUAUCGUUCGCCUUUCGUUUUGUUCGAGUUUCCCGAGAAAUAUACCGUUCCGUUUGUAGCCAUUAAUGUCAUCUGGACGACAUUAUCCGACGUUUUGAGUUUUCACCUAACGUUCGAAGUUGAGUCAUUUUUUGAAAUAUGGCUGCUGCCGCUGCUGCUGCUUUACUUGAUGAGCUUAUGGGAAGAAACAGAAAUGUGCUUCCCAAUGAAAAACCGAAGGAACUUAAUUGGGAGGAUCCUGAGUUUUGCAAAUUAUAUUUGGUAAAAUUCUGUCCUCAUGACUUGUUCGUAAAUACGAGAGCUGACCUUGGAGCUUGUUCACGAGUACAUGACGAUGAAGCGAGAGAACUUUUUGAGAAAGCGCCAUACUCGUAUCGUAAACAGCAAUAUGAGGAUGAAUUUAUUAGAUUUUGUCAAAGUAUGUUGAACGAGGUUGAAAGAAAGAUUGUCAAAGGCAAACAACGUCUUGCUCUUAUUGGAAGAACAGAAGCGCCUACUUUAACUCCUGCACAGACUCAAAGAAACGAAGAACAAAUAGCUUUACUCACAGAGAAGAUAAAUAAAUUAGUAGAAGAGGCAGAACAAAGUGGAAUUCAAGGAAAUGUAGAACAAGCUCAAGGCCUAAUGAGACUUUGCGAUCAAUUAAAGGAAGAACGAGAAACCCUUAGAAAGUCUAAUGAUAAUAGUCAUUAUAAUCAAACUGCUGAACUAGCCGCUGCUCAAGAAAAACAAAUGGAAGUAUGCGACGUAUGUGGCGCUUUCCUCAUUGUGGGUGAUGCUCAACAACGAAUUGAUGAUCAUUUGAUGGGUAAACAACAUGUGGGUUAUGCAAGAUUAAAAAGUGCUCUUCAAGAAAUUAUGAAUAAACGUGAAAAAGCAAGGGAUGAAAAAGAACAGAAAAGAGAAGAAGAGAGAAAACAGAGAGCACGUGCUAACGAAGAACUUGAUAGACGAAGAAGAGAAAGUGACAGAGAUCGAGAUCGAGAUAGAGAAAGAGAUAAACGUCGUAGACGUAUAGACGACGACAAGGGUAGACAUGACUCGGGAAGUCAUAGGAAUUCUGGACAUAGAAGUAGAAGCAGAUCUAGAGAGAAGCAUGAUCGACAUCGUGAUGACGAUAAUCAUCGACGUCAUUCUCGUGAUAAAGGAAAUCGGGAUCAUCGAAGUUCCAGUCAUCAUAAUCGUCGUCGCCAUCGAUCUCGAAGUCGAAGUCACAAGUAACUACUCUUGAUUGGUUAGUGAGUGAGAACUAAGCCAGGUAUGCACUAAACAGUUAACGAUAUAUUCGUCUCAUUUACUGUACAGGUUCUUUACCAGGUGAGUUUCAUUAGAUGCACAUAAUAUGUACAUGAUAAUUAUCUGUGAUUUUGAAGAAUCGCAUACAGUCACAACGUACCAGUCUUUGAUCCUGCCUAUUAAUUGGAGAAAUGCUCUUACUAAAUUUCAUAUGGACCUGAUUGUACAGCAUUUUAUUUUCAAUGUGACGAGCUCAUUCUAUGUAACAUAUAGCUUGAAAAAGCUGCAUCGAGGUAAUGUCGAGCAAGGAGUAGUAAAGUCGUUCACAAAAGAAAGGUAUAUUUAUCAUGUAGUACUAUAGAUAUUGUCUACAGAGCAAGAUAGGAGAAGGUAUACCUAUGCUUGCUUUGAUCGGUAUAAUGUCUUCAUAGGUUAAAUACAGUAAAUCAUUGUGUAAUAUCAACGACUGCAUAGCUUUUUUGUCGAAAAGAAAUUAGUGGUUUAGUGGAGGAAACAGUGCCUACUUCCGUAGACCUGCAACGACAGUGCCCUGUGUGACUGUGACUAUACAAACCUAGCUUCUGCUACGCAUUUCUGAGGUAUUUAUAUCGGAAUGAUAAUACCAAACAUGUCCUUUUCUUAGGAAAGUUAGACUUUUUUGAAAUUGAUGAUGUUUAUUUUUGGAGUGAUACUUCAGUGCUAGUGCUUAAAGGAAAUGAUAACAAAGUCCUGCUAUUACUUUCCUUACUUCCUAAUUGCAGUUGAUUGGAGCAUUAUCAACAUGACUUUCAAUGAUAAUUUAUCUGAGAGUUUUUCGUUUAGGGAUAUAUUAAUGAUAUCUAUGAGAACAGAAAUUGGAUAGAUCAAUUGUAGUACUUUCAAACUUCGAACUUAAAUGUUCAGAGUAACUUUCCUGUUAUUUCCAUAGCCAGUGAGUUAAAAAUACGAAAUUGAUUCAAUUGUCAUCAUAAAUAUUAUACCAGUAUUAACUGAUUAUUUAAACAUUCGUUUUCCUCUAUUUGAUAAGGAAUUUCUUACUACUCCCCUUUUUACAAUUUAUGAGAAAUGUGUAUCAUAUGCAAUAUUUUCUUCCCUCCUUGCACGUGUCACUUUAUUUACACUUUUAGUUCUUAAUGGUUAGGGUGCGGGCAAAAUUAUAAUUUUUAUAAAUGGGUGAAAUGAUUAUUCUUUAGCAUUAUCCUACAUCAAUCAAAAGGAUCACAACAGAGGCCAUAUGGAUCAUAAAUUGAGCUGCUCCUAGGACUUCCCUCAUUCAUAUAUAGUCUCAUAUUAUUCAGUUUGCCAUGUCCUUCGUUUCAGCUUUGAUAGAGAAGAUACAUAUUUUAUAUAUGUCUUAUAUUUAUACAACUCAUUAAUGAUAUAAAUGUUUCUUUAUUAUUACAUAAUCUGCUUUUUAAAUAUUUACUUACAGAAAUAUAAAAGUUUACUCUAAUAAAUUUCAACUUCAAUAUUAUCAUUAUGUAUUGCAGCACAGAAACGUUUUUAUGUGUUGCAUAAUUUAAUUAGUAUCCUAUAACACAUAGAGAUAGAAAUAUCGGAUUUUAGAUCUAAAAUAUGAACUAAAUGUCUUUUUAUAAAAUUGAUUUAUUUUAUUUUUUCUACUAUUUUUUGACGAUAAUCAUAAAUCAUAAUGGGAGAAACAUAAAUUUUUAUAAUUUUAAGGCUGCAAUCAGAAUGAUACUUUGAAUUUUAUUAAUUGCUUACUUAUGCAUAUAAUUGAAAUAUAAUAUUAUUUCUGUUUAAGAAUUUAACAUAAUGAGGUUAACAACAGCUACAAUAAGGGAAUUAUGUUAAUCGUUUGAAAAGCGAAGACAGGGCAAUGGGAAUAACCAGUCCGACAGAUCCACGUGCACUCUGCUUUAUGUAUUAUUAAGGUAAAGAUUUUGCAUAAUCUUCACAUUGAAAAGUCAUGAAUUUUAUAUAAAUGUGGAUGAAUUUAUUUAAAGUACUUUACGUCAUUUUAACGAAUCAUUAAUAAUUGCUGAAAAUCGGCCUUUAAAUAAUGCGUGAAUGUUAUUUUAUUGCAAUUUUAUUUACAUCUGAAAGUAAUUGUUACAUUACUAUACAUACCAAUCAAACAAGGUAAAUUGUCCAUAGGUUACGUUGUAAUACUCGUAAUAUUGUUAUUUGAAAUUAAUAAAAUGAACCUGAGAAAGAACAUAAAAAAACAAUCAUAAAAUGCAGAUAAAGAUUAGUUUAAAAAACCAUUAAAUGACUGGUAUUAUCUUGUACACUUGUAUUAUAAAAAUACAUAUUUAACUAGGUAAUCUAUAAAAAUAUAUAAUUUAUUAAAUAAAUACAAAUAUUGAUAAUACAA